GACGAACGUUGGCGGCGUGCUUAAUACAUGCAAGUCAACUGAAGCAGUGGUAGCAAUAUCGCUGUGGAGGUGGCGCACGGGUGAGUAACACGUAGGUAAUCUGCCUUCAGGUCUGGCAUAACUCCGGGAAACCGGGGCUAAUAGCAGAUGAUGCAGCGGCUCGACAUCGAGACAGUUGUUAAAGCUAUGGCGCCUGAAGAUGAGCCUGCGUCUGAUUAGCUAGUUGGCGGGGUAACGGCCCAUCAAGGCAACGAUCAGUAGCUGGUCUGAGAGGAUGAUCAGCCACACUGGAACUGAGACACGGUCCAGACUCCUACGGGAGGCAGCAGUAAGGAAUAUUGCUCAAUGGGAGAAAUCCUGAAGCAGCAACGCCGCGUGAGGGACGAAGGGCUUUUGCUUGUAAACCUCUGUAGUGAGAGAAAAAAAUCCCAAUCUUUGGGACAUGAUGGUAUCUCAAAAGUAAGCCCCGGCUAACUACGUG
Molecule: ribosomal RNA, 481 nt
Filed under: uncultured bacterium
Lineage: Bacteria
Description: partial 16S ribosomal RNA
Rfam family: Bacterial small subunit ribosomal RNA
Source: RNAcentral